This 79-nucleotide ribosomal RNA is filed under the name Bacillota bacterium. Its description in RNAcentral is "partial 23S ribosomal RNA". It matches the Rfam family "Bacterial large subunit ribosomal RNA", at positions 2852 to 2925 of the family's 2925-position model. Lineage: Bacteria; Bacillati; Bacillota. The record is from RNAcentral.
GUUGAUAGGCCGGGAGUGUAAGGGCAGCAAUGCCUUCAGCGGACCGGUACUAAUAGGUCGAGGGCUUGACCUACGUUUU